ACUGCUCCAGAACACGUGGAUAACCUGCCCUUGGGACCGGCAUAACCCCGGGAAACUGGGGAUAAUUCCGGAUAACGCAUAUUUGCUGGAAUGCUUUAUGCGUCAAAAGGAUUCGUCUGCCCAAGGAUGGGUCUGCGGCCUAUCAGGUAGUAGUGGGUGUAAUGUACCUACUAGCCAGCGACGGGUACGGGUUGUGAGAGCAAGAGCCCGGAGAUGGAUUCUGAGACAUGAAUCCAGGCCCUACGGGGCGCAGCAGGCGCGAAAACUUUACAAUGCGGGAAACCGUGAUAAGGGGACACCGAGUGCCAGCAUCAUAUGCUGGCUGUCCGGAUGUGUAAAAUACAUCCGUUAGCAAGGGCCGGGCAAGACCGGUGCCAGCCGCCGCGGUAACACCGGCGGCCCGAGUGGUGAUCGUGAUUAUUGGGUCUAAAGGGUCCGUAGCCGGUUUGGUCAGUCCUCCGGGAAAUCUGAUAGCUCAACUAUUAGGCUUUCGGGGGAUACUGCCAGACUUGGAACCGGGAGAGGUAAGAGGUACUACAGGGGUAGGAGUGAAAUCUUGUAAUCCCUGUGGGACCACCUGUGGCGAAGGCGUCUUACCAGAACGGGUUCGACGGUGAGGGACGAAAGCUGGGGGCACGAACCGGAUUAGAUACCCGGGUAGUCCCAGCCGUAAACGAUGCUCGCUAGGUGUCAGGCAUGGCGCGACCGUGUCUGGUGCCGCAGGGAAGCCGUGAAGCGAGCCACCUGGAAGUACGC
Molecule: ribosomal RNA, 756 nt
Filed under: Methanosarcina mazei
Lineage: Archaea; Methanobacteriati; Methanobacteriota; Methanomicrobia; Methanosarcinales; Methanosarcinaceae
Description: bacterial SSU rRNA
Rfam family: Archaeal small subunit ribosomal RNA
Source: RNAcentral